AGACAAUUGUAUGAGUGAAUAAUAUCCUUUAUGUGCUCAUGCGGAAGGCAGUCAUUAGGAUGCCUUGUGAAUGAAAACAUUGCUGUGGGUGAAUGUAAUGGGAAUGGCUGGUGUUGCAAGUGUAGGGUAAGGUGGCAAAAAACAAGGGAGGAUGUAAGAAAGAUCAUGCUGCACAUUAGAUGAUGAAGAUCUUUCUGUCCUUUGAUAUCCUGUGCUCUCACAACAAAUUAUUGUACAUCAAAGAAAUGAGCUCUGAGUCAAGAUGAUAGUAAAAGUGAUGAACUAGAAAAUAAUGUAAAGAGGUAGCACCUAUGAAAUUACUGCAAAUAUCUGAAGAAAUGGGGUAAAGGAAAUUGCUCACAAAGUUGUUUAAAUAACUUAAGCUGCUGUCUGAAAAAUAAAUAACCUGGGAGAUGACUAUUAAAAAUGAAAUGUGAUUAGAA
Passer domesticus (house sparrow) is the source of this 443-nucleotide long non-coding RNA. RefSeq lists it as uncharacterized. Lineage: Eukaryota; Metazoa; Chordata; Aves; Passeriformes; Passeridae. The transcript has 2 exons. The record is from RefSeq and is a predicted model, not a curated record.